Molecule: ribosomal RNA, 752 nt
Filed under: uncultured Glomeraceae
Lineage: Eukaryota; Fungi; Glomeromycota; Glomeromycetes; Glomerales; Glomeraceae
Description: SSU rRNA
Rfam family: Eukaryotic small subunit ribosomal RNA
Source: RNAcentral
GGCCUACCAUGGUGGUAACGGGUAACGGGGUGUUAGGGCACGACACCGGAGAGGGAGCCUGAGAAACGGCUACCACAUCUAAGGAUGGCAGCAGGCGCGCAAAUUACCCAAUCCCGACACGGGGAGGUAGUGACAAUAAAUAACAAUACGGGGUUCUUUCGGAUCUCGUAAUUGGAAUGAGUACAAUUUAAAUCUCUUAACGAGGAACAAUUGGAGGGCAAGUCUGGUGCCAGCAGCCGCGGUAAUUCCAGCUCCAAUAGCGUAUAUUAAAGUUGUUGCAGUUAAAAAGCUCGUAGUUGAAUUUCGGGGUUAGUAAGUUGGUCAUGCCAUUGGUAUGCACUGGCUUUACUGAUUCCUCCUUCUUGACGAACCGUGAUGUCAUUAAUUUGGUAUUGCGGGAAAUCAGGACUGUUACUUUGAAAAAAUUAGAGUGUUUAAAGCAGGCUAACGCUUGAAUACAUUAGCAUGGAAUAAUGAAAUAGGACGUUAAUCCUAUUUUGUUGGUUUCUAGGAUCGACGUAAUGAUUAAUAGGGAUAGUUGGGGGCAUUAGUAUUCAAUUGUCAGAGGUGAAAUUCUUGGAUUUAUUGAAGACUAACUACUGCGAAAGCAUUUGCCAAGGAUGUUUUCAUUAAUCAAGAAUGAAAGUUAGGGGAUCGAAGACGAUCAGAUACCAUCGUAGUCUUAACCAUAAACUAUGCCGACUAGGGAUCGGAUGAUGUUAAUUCUUUAAUGACUCAUUCGGCGCCUUACG